RNAcentral lists this ribosomal RNA (465 nucleotides) under Vreelandella stevensii. RNAcentral describes it as "partial 16S ribosomal RNA". It matches the Rfam family "Bacterial small subunit ribosomal RNA", at positions 338 to 795 of the family's 1533-position model. The record is from RNAcentral. Lineage: Bacteria; Pseudomonadati; Pseudomonadota; Gammaproteobacteria; Oceanospirillales; Halomonadaceae.
CCUACGGGGGGCAGCAGUGGGGAAUAUUGGACAAUGGGGGGAACCCUGAUCCAGCCAUGCCGCGUGUGUGAAGAAGGCCCUCGGGUUGUAAAGCACUUUCAGUGAGGAAGAACGCCUGGUGGUUAAUACCCAUCAGGAAAGACAUCACUCACAGAAGAAGCACCGGCUAACUCCGUGCCAGCAGCCGCGGUAAUACGGAGGGUGCGAGCGUUAAUCGGAAUUACUGGGCGUAAAGCGCGCGUAGGUGGCUUGAUAAGCCGGUUGUGAAAGCCCCGGGCUCAACCUGGGAACGGCAUCCGGAACUGUCAAGCUAGAGUGCAGGAGAGGAAGGUAGAAUUCCCGGUGUAGCGGUGAAAUGCGUAGAGAUCGGGAGGAAUACCAGUGGCGAAGGUGGCCUUCUGGACUGACACUGACACUGAGGUGCGAAAGCGUGGGUAGCAAACAGGAUUAGAUACCCCAGUAGUC